GAUGAAGAACGUAGCGAAAUGCGAUAAGUAAUGUGAAUUGCAGAAUUCAGUGAAUCAUCGAAUCUUUGAACGCACCUUGCGCUCCUUGGUAUUCCGAGGAGCAUGCCUGUUUGAGUGUCAUUAAUAUAUCAACCCUUUUGGUUGAAUGUGGGUUUGCUGGCCGCUUUCGAGGUCAGCUCUCCUUAAAUGCAUUAGCGGACAACUUUUCGCCAAAUGCUCAUUGGUGUGAUAAUUAUCUACGCUAUUGACAUGAAGCAGGUUCAGCUUCUAAUAGUCCAUUGACUUGGACAAAUUUAUUAAUGUGACCUCAAAUCAGGUAGGAUUACCCGCUGAACUUAAGCAUAUCAAUAAGCGGAGGA
Molecule: unclassified non-coding RNA, 359 nt
Filed under: soil metagenome
Description: partial contains 5.8S ribosomal RNA, internal transcribed spacer 2, and large subunit ribosomal RNA
Rfam family: 5.8S ribosomal RNA (bases 1-120)
Source: RNAcentral